UACGUAGGUGGCGAGCGUUGUCCGGAUUUACCGGGCGUAAAGGGAGCGUAGGCGGACUUUUAAGCGAGAUGUGAAAUACUCGGGCUCAACUUGAGUGCUGCAUUUCAAACUGGAAGUCUAGAGUGCAGGAGAGGAGAAUGGAAUUCCUAGUGUAGCGGUGAAAUGCGUAGAGAUUAGGAAGAACACCAGUGGCGAAGGCGAUUCUCUGGACUGUGACUGACGCUGAGGCUCGAAAGCGUGGGGAGCAAACAGG
Molecule: ribosomal RNA, 253 nt
Filed under: uncultured bacterium
Lineage: Bacteria
Description: partial 16S ribosomal RNA
Rfam family: Bacterial small subunit ribosomal RNA
Source: RNAcentral